UACGUAGGGUGCAAGCGUUGUCCGGAAUUAUUGGGCGUAAAGGGCUCGUAGGCGGUUUGUCGCGUCGGGAGUGAAAACUCAGGGCUUAACCCUGAGCCUGCUUCCGAUACGGGCAGACUAGAGGUAUGCAGGGGAGAAUGGAAUUCCUGGUGUAGCGGUGAAAUGCGCAGAUAUCAGGAGGAACACCAGUGGCGAAAGCGGCUUCCUGGUCCAGCACCGACGUUCAGGCACGAAAGCGUGGGGAGCAAACAGG
Molecule: ribosomal RNA, 253 nt
Filed under: uncultured bacterium
Lineage: Bacteria
Description: partial 16S ribosomal RNA
Rfam family: Bacterial small subunit ribosomal RNA
Source: RNAcentral